GAUGAAGAACGCAGCAAAAUGCGAUAAGUAAUGUGAAUUGCAGAAUUCAGUGAAUCAUCGAAUCUUUGAACGCACAUUGCGCCCGCCAGUAUUCUGGCGGGCAUGCCUGUUCGAGCGUCAUUUCAACCCUCAAGCACAGCUUGGUGUUGGGACUCGCGUUAAUUCGCGUUCCUCAAAUUGAUUGGCGGUCACGUCGAGCUUCCAUAGCGUAGUAGUAAAACCCUCGUUACUGGUAAUCGUCGCGGCCACGCCGUUAAACCCCAACUUCUGAAUGUUGACCUCGGAUCAGGUAGGGAUACCCGCUGAACUUAAGCAUAUCAAUAAGCGGAGGA
This 332-nucleotide unclassified non-coding RNA is filed under the name soil metagenome. Its description in RNAcentral is "partial contains 5.8S ribosomal RNA, internal transcribed spacer 2, and large subunit ribosomal RNA". The stretch from base 1 to 120 matches the Rfam family "5.8S ribosomal RNA", at positions 35 to 154 of the family's 154-position model. The record is from RNAcentral.